Molecule: small nuclear RNA, 18 nt
Filed under: Arabidopsis thaliana (thale cress)
Lineage: Eukaryota; Viridiplantae; Streptophyta; Magnoliopsida; Brassicales; Brassicaceae
Description: snRNA_18888
Source: RNAcentral
GAGCUUUCCCCGGGCGUC